CAUACUUGUUGGAAACCCUAGCCAUGUCCUUCUCCUCUUCUUGCUUUUAAUGGUUAAAGAUAGAUUAAUAGAAGUAGGAAGUAGAGAAGAUGAGAAGAGAAUAUGGCAAGGUACUCGACUUUUAGGUUGUGCUUAAGACCUUGUUGAUCAGCCAGUGCUAGGAUGGAUCCAUUA
Molecule: long non-coding RNA, 174 nt
Organism: Dioscorea cayenensis subsp. rotundata (Guinea yam)
Lineage: Eukaryota; Viridiplantae; Streptophyta; Magnoliopsida; Dioscoreales; Dioscoreaceae
Exons: 3
Source: RefSeq, a predicted model, not a curated record